Molecule: long non-coding RNA, 870 nt
Organism: Sciurus carolinensis (gray squirrel)
Lineage: Eukaryota; Metazoa; Chordata; Mammalia; Rodentia; Sciuridae
Exons: 3
Source: RefSeq, a predicted model, not a curated record
CCUCAGUACUCAGGACUUGCCUCGUGGACAGAGCCUGCAGUUCUGGAAUAUCCAUGGCUGCUCUGACCUGAGCCCUUAGUGUCCAGAGACUGGCCUGGAGCCAGCAGGAAGGACAGCCACUCCUAGGGCUGGCUCCUCACCCCUCCCACUUUGAACCUACAAAAACUUCAGCUCAGAGAGCAGCUCUGCAGUUCCCACUCUGUUAAUCCAGUGCCCACCAGGAGGUCGGUAUCCUGAAAUGUCAGAUAACUCCAUCCUGGCCUGAGUUCCCUUCCCCUCCUCUGCUGAGUGAUCAGAGCUUUGCUCAUUCACAUGCAAGACUGGCCCACCAACCAAGUUCAGCUGCUCCCAUUGGUCCUGUUUGUCCUGAACCACGCUGGAGCUUGGUAGGUAAGUGGGAUACCAGGUCAGUCAGGGCAUUUCUGGAUGUAAAGGGAGCUCAAGAGGUUGAACAGCACAGAGAGGAGCCCAUUUGGGUGUAGGCUGUGAUCUCAGCAGGGGUAGUAAGAGCAACCAAGCUGACCAGCAAAGCAAUUGGCCAAUUGCCUAGCAUACAGGAGGCACUGGGUUCCCUCCUCAGUACUGCAAGCAACACAAAACAAAAAUAGAAUGGGCAGGCCCUAGAAAAUGCUUUUUAAGUGCUUGCUGGAAUCUCCUGGAAACCUUCCAAAAUUCAAUGUCUGUGAUCAAACCCUAGGGACUGCUUACAUUGCACUAGGGUCAUGGAAAAUUCCGCAGGUAAGUAGAAGGUGCAGCCUGCGCUGUGAACCAUUGCACUGGAGUUAGACCUGCCUUCCAAUCCCAGCUGCCUACUUACUAGCUUGGUGAGCUUGUCAACUCACAGAACCUCCUGAAGUCUGUGUCCUUAUU